RNAcentral lists this ribosomal RNA (557 nucleotides) under uncultured bacterium. RNAcentral describes it as "bacterial SSU rRNA". It matches the Rfam family "Bacterial small subunit ribosomal RNA", at positions 367 to 917 of the family's 1533-position model. The record is from RNAcentral.
CGCAAUGNCGCGAAAGCCUGAGGCACGACGCCGCGUGUGGGAUGAAGUCCUUCGGGAUGUAAACCACUGUCAGGGACUACCAAGUGAAGAGGGCCAAUACCCCUCUAAGUUGAGGAGUCCCAGAGGAAGCCACGGCUAACUUCGUGCCAGCAGCCGCGGUAAGACGAAGGUGGCAAGCGUUGUUCGGAAUCACUGGGCUUAAAGCGCACGUAGGCGGCCUAUCAAGCGUCCUGUGAAAGCCCCCGGCUCAACCGGGGAACGGCAGGGCGAACUGGCAGGCUUGAGGCAGGUAGAGGCGAGUGGAACUCUUGGUGGAGCGGUGGAAUGCGUAGAUAUCAAGAGGAACGCCGGUGGCGAAAGCGACUCGCUGGGCCUGACCUGACGCUCAGGUGCGAAAGCCAGGGGAGCAAACGGGAUUAGAUACCCCGGUAGUCCUGGCCCUAAACGAUGUCCACUAGGUCGGAGGUUUUCUGACAAAUUUCCGGCCGGAACAAAAGCGUUAAGUGGACCGCCUGGGGAGUACGGUCGCAAGGCUAAAACUCAAAAGAAUUGACGGA